Molecule: non-coding RNA, 148 nt
Filed under: Eubacteriaceae bacterium CHKCI004
Lineage: Bacteria; Bacillati; Bacillota; Clostridia; Eubacteriales; Eubacteriaceae
Also listed under: 1 other name
Description: FMN riboswitch aptamer (RFN element)
Rfam family: FMN riboswitch aptamer (RFN element)
About the family: The RFN element is a highly conserved domain that is found frequently in the 5'-untranslated regions of prokaryotic mRNAs that encode for flavin mononucleotide (FMN) biosynthesis and transport proteins. This element is a metabolite-dependent riboswitch that directly binds FMN in the absence of proteins.
Source: Rfam by way of RNAcentral
AAUCUGUUUCAGGGCGAGGUGAGAUUCCUCACUGGUGGUGACAGGCCAAGACCUUAAGUCCACGAGCCAAAAGCGUGCGUAUGCGCGCUGAGGUUGAAUGGGUUAGAAUCCCAUACCAACGGUAUAGUCCGGAUGAAAGAAACGAUAG